RNAcentral lists this ribosomal RNA (301 nucleotides) under uncultured bacterium. RNAcentral describes it as "partial 16S ribosomal RNA". It matches the Rfam family "Bacterial small subunit ribosomal RNA", at positions 509 to 809 of the family's 1533-position model. The record is from RNAcentral.
CAGUCGCCGCGGUAAUACGUAGGGUGCGAGCGUUAAUCGGAACUACUGGGCGUAAAGCGUGCGCAGGCGGUUUUGUAAGACAGGCGUGAAAUCCCCGGGCUCAACCUGGGAAUGGCGCUUGUGACUGCAAAGCUAGAGUGCGGCAGAGGGGGAUGGAAUUCCGCGUGUAGCAGUGAAAUGCGUAGAUAUGCGGAGGAACACCGAUGGCGAAGGCAAUCCCCUGGGCCUGCACUGACGCUCAUGCACGAAAGCGUGGGGAGCAAACAGGAUUAGAUACCCCUGUAGUCCCUGUCUCUUAUAA